GACGAACGCUGGCGGCGUGCUUAACACAUGCAAGUCGAACGUGAUUUUUGUGGAAAUUCUUUCGGGAAUGGAAAUGAAAUGAAAGUGGCGAACGGGUGAGUAACACGUGAGCAACCUACCUUACACAGGGGGAUAGCCGUUGGAAACGACGAUUAAUACCGCAUGGGACCACAGAAUCGCAUGAUAUAGGGGUCAAAGAUUUAUCGGUGUAAGAAGGGCUCGCGUCUGAUUAGCUAGUUGGAAGGGUAAAGGCCUACCAAGGCGACGAUCAGUAGCCGGUCUGAGAGGAUGAACGGCCACAUUGGAACUGAGACACGGUCCAAACUCCUACGGGAGGCAGCAGUGGGGAAUAUUGCACAAUGGGGGGAACCCUGAUGCAGCGACGCCGCGUGAGCGAAGAAGGUUUUCGAAUCGUAAAGCUCUGUCCUAUGAGAAGAUAAUGACGGUAUCAUAGGAGGAAGCCCCGGCUAAAUACGUG
RNAcentral lists this ribosomal RNA (478 nucleotides) under uncultured bacterium. RNAcentral describes it as "partial 16S ribosomal RNA". It matches the Rfam family "Bacterial small subunit ribosomal RNA", at positions 28 to 507 of the family's 1533-position model. The record is from RNAcentral.